RNAcentral lists this long non-coding RNA (1027 nucleotides) under Anser cygnoides (Swan goose). Its description in RNAcentral is "lncRNA (ENSACDG00005014972.1)". Lineage: Eukaryota; Metazoa; Chordata; Aves; Anseriformes; Anatidae. The record is from RNAcentral.
UCAGAUUCUGCUCCUGCAGGAUAUACUCUUUUGUUGGCAUGAAAAAACAUUCUGGCCUGUGACUCAGCCUGACCAGCUCUGCUUUACUUCAUCUGCAAGAAACUGCAUCAUCCAUGUAUUUAUUUACUGACACACUGCAUGGUUAUUGCCUGAGAAAUCUCUAUAAAACGCUGCGUCCUCACCCUUUAUGCUACGAGUGGGCACGAGGGACCUCCCUCGGUGCGUCCUGCCCUGAGCCGCCCCGUUGCAGCGGGAGCAGAUCAUGGAAAUGUUGAAUGACUCCGGUAGCUGAAUCACCACGUUUCUUCAGGUUUCCCCUCUGAUGCCACACUGACUCGCAGAUACUUACGUGAGUAAUCCUGCGCGUGACUUCGAAGCAUUUACACGCAGCUCCUUUACACGCUUGGGAAAAGCUCUGCCGUUCGGGGGGCUGCAGACACUUCCCUGCUCCGGGGAGCUGUGCAGCCCUGGUGCUGAGCGAGGAGCCGAGUGAUGCGCAUCAGUCAGCUCUCGGCAGUGCUGCUGCAGUCGGAGGGCUUGGUGUGUCAGUAGGUGUCAGCAUUCAGUUGCUGUGUAAUUGAGCACUGUGAUUGAAUGCUCAUGGCAACACGCCUGCGGAAUUAAUGCCAAGUACUCUACAAACCGUGCUUUAGGAUAGGAUUAUUCAACCAGAAGUUUCUGGAUACAGAAAGGGAAAAAGAUCCUUACAGCUCUGUUUGGUGUCCAAACCCCCAGUUUCUUCACUGGAAACACCACUGUGCUCCGUCGCACCUGCUGACAGCACAGUGUGUGAAGAUGAGCACUUGCCCCUAUAGUGUUGUGCAAGCGUUGUGACCACUUGCUCACCUGUGUCUGCGCCUGCCCUUGGGUGGGUUGGGGUGCUGCUGGCGGCACGAGCCCCUGCUCCUUCUCCUUGAGAAGUGGAUACGUGCCUUGGACAAUUUGCUGGCAAAAGUCUCUGCUGAUAGCUGUAGAGCACCUGUGGCAGCACCUCCUUCUCUAACCAUGUUACAGCCUCCCAGUUUUC